This 643-nucleotide ribosomal RNA is filed under the name uncultured bacterium. RNAcentral describes it as "bacterial SSU rRNA". It matches the Rfam family "Bacterial small subunit ribosomal RNA", at positions 232 to 885 of the family's 1533-position model. The record is from RNAcentral.
CGCGGCCUAUCAGCUUGUUGGUGGGGUAAUGGCCUACCAAGGCGACGACGGGUAGCCGGCCUGAGAGGGUGACCGGCCACACUGGGACUGAGACACGGCCCAGACUCCUACGGGAGGCAGCAGUGGGGAAUAUUGCGCAAUGGGCGAAAGCCUGACGCAGCGACGCCGCGUGAGGGAUGACGGCCUUCGGGUUGUAAACCUCUUUCAGUAGGGACGAAGCGAAAGUGACGGUACCUACAGAAGAAGCACCGGCCAACUACGUGCCAGCAGCCGCGGUAAUGCGUAGGAUGCAAGCGUUGUCCGGAAUUAUUGGGCGUAAAGAGCUCGUAGGCGGUCUGUCGCGUCGGCUGUGAGAACCCGAGGCUCAACCUCGGGCCUGCAGUCGAUACGGGCAAACUAGAGUACUGCAGGGGAGACUGGAAUUCCUGGUGUAGCGGUGAAAUGCGCAGAUAUCAGGAGGAACACCGGUGGCGAAGGCGGGUCUCUGGGCAGUAACUGACGCUGAGGAGCGAAAGCGUGGGGAGCGAACAGGAUUAGAUACCCUGGUAGUCCACGCCGUAAACGUUGGGCGCUAGGUGUGGGGGCCAUUCCACGGUCUCCGUGCCGCAGCUAACGCAUUAAGCGCCCCGCCUGGGGAGUACGG